GUAGGGAAUAUUGGGCAAUGGUCGGAAGACUGACCCAGCCAUGCCGCGUGCAGGAAGACGGCCCUCUGGGUUGUAAACUGCUUUUAUCUGGGAAGAAAAAGGCCAUGUGUGGCAAAUUGCCGGUACCAGAUGAAUAAGCACCGGCUAACUCCGUGCCAGCAGCCGCGGUAAUACGGAGGGUGCGAGCGUUUUCCGGAUUUAUUGGGUUUAAAGGGUGCGUAGGCGGCUGAUUAAGUCAGCGGUGAAAGACUUCGGCUUAACCGGAGCAGUGCCGUUGAUACUGGUUGGCUUGAGUGUCGGAGGGGUACAUGGAAUUGAUGGUGUAGCGGUGAAAUACAUAGAUACCAUCAGGAACACCGAUAGCGAAGGCAUUGUACUGGCCGACAACUGACGCUGAUGCACGAAAGUGUGGGGAUCGAACAGGAUUAGAAACCCUUGUAGUCC
RNAcentral lists this ribosomal RNA (444 nucleotides) under uncultured bacterium. RNAcentral's name for it is "partial 16S ribosomal RNA". It matches the Rfam family "Bacterial small subunit ribosomal RNA", at positions 354 to 796 of the family's 1533-position model. The record is from RNAcentral.